RNAcentral lists this ribosomal RNA (230 nucleotides) under uncultured fungus. RNAcentral's name for it is "partial small subunit ribosomal RNA". The record is from RNAcentral. Lineage: Eukaryota; Fungi.
GGUUUUUAAUAUUUUUAUUUUUUAUCUUUAUGGUAAUUAAUACAAUAAUAUUUAAACCAUCAUCGAAAAGAUUAUAUUUGGUCAUUUAUUUGUCUAGUAUAAGAUUUUCGUCAUUUACUGUGAGUAAAAUAGAGUGUUCAAAGCAGGCUUAAGCUGUUGAAUAUAUUAGCAUGGAAUAAUACUAUAAGAUCUUUUUAAGAAAAUGUUUAGUUGGUUUAUUUAUUAAGGUA